This 432-nucleotide ribosomal RNA is filed under the name uncultured bacterium. RNAcentral describes it as "partial 16S ribosomal RNA". It matches the Rfam family "Bacterial small subunit ribosomal RNA", at positions 29 to 506 of the family's 1533-position model. The record is from RNAcentral.
AACGAACGCUGGCGGCAUGCCUAACACAUGCAAGUCGAACGAGACCUUCGGGUCUAGUGGCGCACGGGUGCGUAACGCGUGGGAACCUGCCCUUAGGUUCGGAAUAACUCCCCGAAAGGGGUGCUAAUACCGGAUAAUGUCUUCGGACCAAAGAUUUAUCGCCUUUGGAUGGGCCCGCGUUGGAUUAGCUAGUUGGUAGGGUAAAAGCCUACCAAGGCGACGAUCCAUAGCUGGUCUGAGAGGAUGAUCAGCCACACUGGGACUGAGACACGGCCCAGACCCCUACGGGAGGCAGGAGUGGGGAAUAUUGGAAAAGGGGCGAAAGCCUGAUCCAGCAAGGCCGGGUGAGGGAGGAAGGCCUUAGGGUUGUAAAGCUCUUUUACCCGGGAUGAUAAUGACAGUACCGGGAGAAUAAGCCCCGGCUAACUCCGU